RNAcentral lists this unclassified non-coding RNA (505 nucleotides) under Hevea brasiliensis (rubber tree). The record is from RNAcentral. Lineage: Eukaryota; Viridiplantae; Streptophyta; Magnoliopsida; Malpighiales; Euphorbiaceae.
GGCAGGGGUGGUUGGGGACGCGGCAGGGGCCGUGGCUUCCGAGGCCGUGGCAGAGGUGGCUAUGGUGGUCGCUUCGACUAUCAACAAGAAGCUGGUGAUUACAAUGAAGAAGCCCCGAUGCCAUAUCAAGGUCGUGGUCGUGGAAGGGGGCCAAUGCGAGGAAGGGGCCGUGGUCCCAGAGCGAAUGGACCGAACGGGCCGAUCCAUGAAGUUGUCGGUGGCGAGCAAAUGGAAUGAAGAAGUUUAGCUAUGCAAAUUUCCAGUUUUAGGGUGUCGGAUGCCUGCUCCUUGUAAUGUCGAUGGUUGUGUUGCUUGGUUAUCGAUCGAGUUUAGACCGUAUAAGCUGUCCUUAUGUGGCCCGGUGACAGUGUUAUGAAUCUGUAGGCUUUAUUUUACAUAGGUUUUUGUUUCAGUUUUGUUUGUUUAGCUGAGAUUAAUUGUAACCCUUUUAGAGCAGUACAUUCUUUUAUUUUUUUUAAAGCUUGUAUUACCGAUAAAUGCAUGU